RNAcentral lists this ribosomal RNA (22 nucleotides) under Trichoderma virens. RNAcentral's name for it is "partial 18S ribosomal RNA". The record is from RNAcentral. Lineage: Eukaryota; Fungi; Ascomycota; Sordariomycetes; Hypocreales; Hypocreaceae.
CACUGCUGAUGACGCGGAGGGA